This 440-nucleotide ribosomal RNA is filed under the name uncultured bacterium. RNAcentral's name for it is "partial 16S ribosomal RNA". It matches the Rfam family "Bacterial small subunit ribosomal RNA", at positions 338 to 795 of the family's 1533-position model. The record is from RNAcentral.
CCUACGGGUGGCAGCAGUGGGGAAUAUUGCACAAUGGGGGAAACCCUGAUGCAGCGACGCCGCGUGAGUGAUGAAGUCUUUCUGUAUGUAAAGCUCUAUCAGCAUGGAAGUAAAUGACGGUACGUGACUAAGAAUCCAUGUCUAACUACGUUCCAGCAGCCGCGGUAAUACGUAGGGAGCAAGCGUUAUCCGGAUUUACUGGGUGUAAAGGGUGCGUAGGUGGCAGGGCAAGUCAGAUGUGAAAGCGCGGGGCUCAACCCCGGUACUGCAUUUGAAACUGUCAAGCUUGAGUGCAGGAGAGGUAAGCGGAAUUCCUAGUGUAGCGGUGAAAUGCGUAGAGAUUAGGAAGAACACCAGUGGCGAAGGCGGCUUACUGGACUGUAACUGACACUGAGGCACGAAAGCGUGGGGAGCAAACAGGAUUAGAUACCCGUGUAGUC